Molecule: long non-coding RNA, 492 nt
Organism: Brienomyrus brachyistius
Lineage: Eukaryota; Metazoa; Chordata; Actinopteri; Osteoglossiformes; Mormyridae
Exons: 4
Source: RefSeq, a predicted model, not a curated record
CUCCUGAACACAGACGAUGACUGAAAGACUCGGGAUUACAUAUGAACCCCCCGACUCAGAUCCUGAUGUCGAUGCUCUGCUCCCAGCAUGCAUGGCCCACAGUCCCAGGUUCCUGCCAACUUCGUGCUGUCAGGAGGGGAUGAAUCUGCACACUGGCUACACAAUCUGGUGUGGCUGCCUCUGCAUGUGCUUUCGGGAUACUUGGGACUUCAGAAAAUAUGGCAAAAGCAUUUGGCACAUUUGGCAAAAGUAGCAGUUUAACCACAGAAUCAAAAAAGUUCUAAAUGGUGGUAUUUUAGUCUGUAAUGUCAGGACAGUUCGCCACAAAAGUUAUCACCAAACAGCAUAAACAACGCCCUCCAAAAAUGAAUUUGAUCCAUGUUGACACAAACCAUUGCCAAAGCUUUCACAGUACAGUGGCUAAGUUAAGGUGAAGUUCAACAAAUCACAAUCCGCCUUUAUAUGACCACUCGCUUCACACUAGGACGCUAA